ACAAAUCGAGUGCGCUUCGGCGCAUAUUAACCCGAACCCGGCGGGAACGCUGGGCUAGGUGCACGGUUCGCCGUGCGCGCAGUGCGAACGGGGACCAUUUACCGGUCUCUGGGAACACUGUGCACAUAGACGCUUGCAUGUUUUUUGGUUUAGUUGACAACAUUUAAAUUGA
RNAcentral lists this unclassified non-coding RNA (172 nucleotides) under uncultured fungus. RNAcentral describes it as "sequence contains ITS1". The record is from RNAcentral. Lineage: Eukaryota; Fungi.